This 495-nucleotide ribosomal RNA is filed under the name uncultured bacterium. Its description in RNAcentral is "partial 16S ribosomal RNA". It matches the Rfam family "Bacterial small subunit ribosomal RNA", at positions 28 to 507 of the family's 1533-position model. The record is from RNAcentral.
GACGAACGCUGGCGGCGUGCCUAAUACAUGCAAGUCGAACGCCGAAGGAGGAGCUUGCUUCUCUGGCUGAUUUGCGAACGGGUGAGUAACGCGUAGGUAACCUGCCUGGCAGUGUGGGAUAACUAUUGGAAACGAUAGCUAAUACCGCAUAAGAGUCGAUGUUGCAUUACAUUUGCUUAAAAGUUGCACUUUCAUCACUACCAGAUGCAGCUGCGUUGUAUUAGCUUGUUGGUGGGGUAACCGCUCCCCAACGCGACGACACAUCUCCGACCUGAGAGGGAGGUCCGCCACACUGGGACCGGGACAAGGGUCAGGAUUCCAAGGGAAGCAGCAAUAGGGGAUCAUCGGAAAUUGGCGGAAGGCUUGACGAGGAAAGCCCGGUGAGGGAAGGAAGGCUUCGGAUCGUAAAGGUCUGUUUGUAGAGAAAGAAGAGUAUGAGAGUAGAAAGUUCACGCUGUGACGGUACCUAAACAGAAAGAAACGGCUAACUACGUG